CACGUAGGGCGCAAGCGUUGUCCGGAAUUAUUGGGCGUAAAGAGCUCGUAGGCGGUCUGUUGCGUCCGCUGUGAAAACUCGGGGCUUAACCCCGAGCCUGCAGUGGAUACGGGCAGACUAGAGGUAGGUAGGGGAGAAUGGAAUUCCCGGUGUAGCGGUGAAAUGCGCAGAUAUCGGGAAGAACACCGGUGGCGAAGGCGGUUCUCUGGGCCUUACCUGACGCUGAGGAGCGAAAGCGUGGGGAGCGAACAGG
This 253-nucleotide ribosomal RNA is filed under the name uncultured bacterium. RNAcentral describes it as "partial 16S ribosomal RNA". It matches the Rfam family "Bacterial small subunit ribosomal RNA", at positions 524 to 776 of the family's 1533-position model. The record is from RNAcentral.